CUCCGCCUCUGAGUCCUCCUCUGAGUAGCUCUGUUGUUCAUACUGUUGAACUCUUCCUACUAAUUCUUUAACCAUAGCCUUUAAUUGUGAUACCUCCUGUCUUAAUAAAACCGUCUCUGAAGUCGCUGACGACACAUGUUCUGCACACUCGGUUAAGGGUCUGGAUGGCCGGCCAUAGACUCGGUUUGGUAGUCUUGUAGAUAUGUUGGAGGCACACUCUCUCUGUGUGGCCUUCCUCCUCCUCCUCCUCCUCCUCCAUGUUGUCCCUCUUCUCCAGCUGAAACAGCUUCUGGGUCCAUACUCCUACAUAGAUGUUCCUCCGGCUCGAAGGACCUUGAAAAAACUCUUAAUUGCUGAUGGUGUUGGUUCACUGAACAUCUGAUGUGGUGUGCACAUUUAAACACAGGAUCCAGUGCCGUUCCAAGGUUUUAUUGUUGUCAAGGCAGGGAGAAGGUUUACGCUGGUUGCAGGUGAAUAAUGGAUGGAUGGAUGAAUGGAUGAUUUUGUAUCAGUAAUGCAUCCACAGUCUGCACUGCAUCCACAAUCUGUACUUGGGCACAACUAUAAUAUUU
Long non-coding RNA from Sander lucioperca (pikeperch), 572 nucleotides. RefSeq lists it as uncharacterized. The record is from RefSeq and is a predicted model, not a curated record. NCBI's taxonomy places the organism in Eukaryota, Metazoa, Chordata, Actinopteri, Perciformes, Percidae. The transcript is spliced from 3 exons.